UCCUACGGGAGGCAGCAGUGGGGAAUAUUGGGCAAUGGGGGAAACCCUGACCCAGCAACGCCGCGCGAAGGAAGAAGGCUUUCGGGUUGUAAACUUCUUUUACCAGGGACGAAGACGUGACGGUACCUGGAGAAAAAGCCACGGCUAACUACGUGCCAGCAGCCGCGGUAAU
Molecule: ribosomal RNA, 172 nt
Filed under: uncultured bacterium
Lineage: Bacteria
Description: partial 16S ribosomal RNA
Rfam family: Bacterial small subunit ribosomal RNA
Source: RNAcentral